RNAcentral lists this ribosomal RNA (1685 nucleotides) under human gut metagenome. Its description in RNAcentral is "bacterial LSU rRNA". It matches the Rfam family "Bacterial large subunit ribosomal RNA", at positions 1262 to 2925 of the family's 2925-position model. The record is from RNAcentral.
UGUGAGGGUUGCUGGAGGUAUCAGAAGUGCGAAUGCUGACAUAAGUAACGAUAAAGCGGGUGAAAAGCCCGCUCGCCGGAAGACCAAGGGUUCCUGUCCAACGUUAAUCGGGGCAGGGUGAGUCGACCCCUAAGGCGAGGCCGAAAGGCGUAGUCGAUGGGAAACAGGUUAAUAUUCCUGUACUUGGUGUUACUGCGAAGGGGGGACGGAGAAGGCUAUGUUGGCCGGGCGACGGUUGUCCCGGUUUAAGCGUGUAGGCUGGUUUUCCAGGCAAAUCCGGAAAACCAAGGCUGAGGCGUGAUGACGAGGCACUACGGUGCUGAAGCGACAAAUGCCCUGCUUCCAGGAAAAGCCUCUAAGCAUCAGGUAACAUCAAAUCGUACCCCAAACCGACACAGGUGGUCAGGUAGAGAAUACCAAGGCGCUUGAGAGAACUCGGGUGAAGGAACUAGGCAAAAUGGUGCCGUAACUUCGGGAGAAGGCACGCUGAUAUGUAGGUGAAGCGACUUGCUCGUGGAGCUGAAAUCAGUCGAAGAUACCAGCUGGCUGCAACUGUUUAUUAAAAACACAGCACUGUGCAAACACGAAAGUGGACGUAUACGGUGUGACGCCUGCCCGGUGCCGGAAGGUUAAUUGAUGGGGUUAGCGGUAACGCGAAGCUCUUGAUCGAAGCCCCGGUAAACGGCGGCCGUAACUAUAACGGUCCUAAGGUAGCGAAAUUCCUUGUCGGGUAAGUUCCGACCUGCACGAAUGGCGUAAUGAUGGCCAGGCUGUCUCCACCCGAGACUCAGUGAAAUUGAACUCGCUGUGAAGAUGCAGUGUACCCGCGGCAAGACGGAAAGACCCCGUGAACCUUUACUAUAGCUUGACACUGAACAUUGAGCCUUGAUGUGUAGGAUAGGUGGGAGGCUUUGAAGUGUGGACGCCAGUCUGCAUGGAGCCGACCUUGAAAUACCACCCUUUAAUGUUUGAUGUUCUAACGUUGGCCCGUAAUCCGGGUUGCGGACAGUGUCUGGUGGGUAGUUUGACUGGGGCGGUCUCCUCCUAAAGAGUAACGGAGGAGCACGAAGGUUGGCUAAUCCUGGUCGGACAUCAGGAGGUUAGUGCAAUGGCAUAAGCCAGCUUGACUGCGAGCGUGACGGCGCGAGCAGGUGCGAAAGCAGGUCAUAGUGAUCCGGUGGUUCUGAAUGGAAGGGCCAUCGCUCAACGGAUAAAAGGUACUCCGGGGAUAACAGGCUGAUACCGCCCAAGAGUUCAUAUCGACGGCGGUGUUUGGCACCUCGAUGUCGGCUCAUCACAUCCUGGGGCUGAAGUAGGUCCCAAGGGUAUGGCUGUUCGCCAUUUAAAGUGGUACGCGAGCUGGGUUUAGAACGUCGUGAGACAGUUCGGUCCCUAUCUGCCGUGGGCGCUGGAGAACUGAGGGGGGCUGCUCCUAGUACGAGAGGACCGGAGUGGACGCAUCACUGGUGUUCGGGUUGUCAUGCCAAUGGCACUGCCCGGUAGCUAAAUGCGGAAGAGAUAAGUGCUGAAAGCAUCUAAGCACGAAACUUGCCCCGAGAUGAGUUCUCCCUGACUCCUUGAGAGUCCUGAAGGAACGUUGAAGACGACGACGUUGAUAGGCCGGGUGUGUAAGCGCAGCGAUGCGUUGAGCUAACCGGUACUAAUGAACCGUGAGGCUUAACCUU